UGCAUAUGUUUUCUCACGAUGGUCUUCCUAGCCUAGCUUGUGUUGACCACAAUGCCUUUUUGGCGUUGCUGAUGCAGUCCA
Small nucleolar RNA from Gadus macrocephalus (Pacific cod), 81 nucleotides. RefSeq annotates it as small nucleolar RNA SNORD35. NCBI's taxonomy places the organism in Eukaryota, Metazoa, Chordata, Actinopteri, Gadiformes, Gadidae. The transcript has a single exon. The record is from RefSeq and is a predicted model, not a curated record.